CUGCUCAGGUGAGGCUGGUGGGGCCUUUUGCUCGUUGUGCAACGUGCCGCUAGUGCUGGCCGGCAAACACCCUGCAGCUCCAUGGCCAGCCCCACGAAAUAAACU
Molecule: long non-coding RNA, 105 nt
Organism: Dermochelys coriacea (leatherback sea turtle)
Lineage: Eukaryota; Metazoa; Chordata; Testudines; Dermochelyidae
Exons: 3
Source: RefSeq, a predicted model, not a curated record